UCCCUGGUGGCCUAAGGGUUAAAGAUUCAGCAUUGUCACUGCAGUGGCUCAGGUUCAAUCCCUGGCCAGGGAA
RNAcentral lists this transfer RNA (73 nucleotides) under Sus scrofa (pig). It matches the Rfam family "tRNA". From Rfam's summary of the family: Transfer RNA (tRNA) molecules are approximately 80 nucleotides in length. Their secondary structure includes four short double-helical elements and three loops (D, anti-codon, and T loops). Further hydrogen bonds mediate the characteristic L-shaped molecular structure. tRNAs have two regions of fundamental functional importance: the anti-codon, which is responsible for specific mRNA codon recognition, and the 3' end, to which the tRNAs corresponding amino acid is attached (by aminoacyl-tRNA synthetases). tRNAs cope with the degeneracy of the genetic code in two manners: having more than one tRNA (with a specific anti-codon) for a particular amino acid; and 'wobble' base-pairing, i.e. permitting non-standard base-pairing at the 3rd anti-codon position. Lineage: Eukaryota; Metazoa; Chordata; Mammalia; Artiodactyla; Suidae. The record is from Rfam by way of RNAcentral.